RNAcentral lists this ribosomal RNA (253 nucleotides) under uncultured bacterium. RNAcentral's name for it is "partial 16S ribosomal RNA". It matches the Rfam family "Bacterial small subunit ribosomal RNA", at positions 524 to 776 of the family's 1533-position model. The record is from RNAcentral.
GACAGAGGGUGCAAACGUUGUUCGGAAUUACUGGGCGUAAAGCGCGUGUAGGCUGCUUGGAAAGUCGGAUGUGAAAGCCUUGGGCUUAACCCAGGAAGUGCACUCGAAACUUCCGAGCUUGAGUUCUGGAGAGGGUGGCGGAAUUCUCGGUGUAGAGGUGAAAUUCGUAGAUAUCGAGAGGAACACCGGUGGCGAAGGCGGCUACCUGGACAGAAACUGACGCUGAGACGCGAAAGCGUGGGGAGCAAACAGG